This 253-nucleotide ribosomal RNA is filed under the name uncultured bacterium. RNAcentral's name for it is "partial 16S ribosomal RNA". It matches the Rfam family "Bacterial small subunit ribosomal RNA", at positions 524 to 776 of the family's 1533-position model. The record is from RNAcentral.
UACGUAGGGUGCGAGCGUUAAUCGGAAUUACUGGGCGUAAAGCGUACGUAGGCGGUUAUUCAAGUCAGAGGUGAAAGCCUGGAGCUCAACUCCAGAACUGCCUUUGAAACGAGAUAGCUAGAAUCUUGGAGAGGUGAGUGGAAUUCCGAGUGUAGAGGUGAAAUUCGUAGAUAUUCGGAAGAACACCAGUGGCGAAGGCGACUCACUGGACAAGUAUUGACGCUGAGGUACGAAAGCGUGGGGAGCAAACAGG